RNAcentral lists this ribosomal RNA (465 nucleotides) under Vreelandella stevensii. RNAcentral's name for it is "partial 16S ribosomal RNA". It matches the Rfam family "Bacterial small subunit ribosomal RNA", at positions 338 to 795 of the family's 1533-position model. Lineage: Bacteria; Pseudomonadati; Pseudomonadota; Gammaproteobacteria; Oceanospirillales; Halomonadaceae. The record is from RNAcentral.
CCUACGGGCGGCUGCAGUGGGGAAUAUUGGACAAUGGGGGCAACCCUGAUCCAGCCAUGCCGCGUGUGUGAAGAAGGCCCUCGGGUUGUAAAGCACUUUCAGUGAGGAAGAACGCCUGGUGGUUAAUACCCAUCAGGAAAGACAUCACUCACAGAAGAAGCACCGGCUAACUCCGUGCCAGCAGCCGCGGUAAUACGGAGGGUGCGAGCGUUAAUCGGAAUUACUGGGCGUAAAGCGCGCGUAGGUGGCUUGAUAAGCCGGUUGUGAAAGCCCCGGGCUCAACCUGGGAACGGCAUCCGGAACUGUCAAGCUGGAGUGCAGGAGAGGAAGGUAGAAUUCCCGGUGUAGCGGUGAAAUGCGUAGAGAUCGGGAGGAAUACCAGUGGCGAAGGCGGCCUUCUGGACUGACACUGACACUGAGGUGCGAAAGCGUGGGUAGCAAACAGGAUUAGAUACCCUGGUAGUC